GGCGGUGUAGCUCAGUUGGCUAGAGCGUACGGUUCAUACCCGUAAGGUCGGGGGUUCGAGGCCCUCCGCCGCUA
RNAcentral lists this transfer RNA (74 nucleotides) under Hazenella coriacea. It matches the Rfam family "tRNA". From Rfam's summary of the family: Transfer RNA (tRNA) molecules are approximately 80 nucleotides in length. Lineage: Bacteria; Bacillati; Bacillota; Bacilli; Caryophanales; Thermoactinomycetaceae. The record is from Rfam by way of RNAcentral.